UACGAAGGUGGCGAGCGUUGUUCGGAAUCACUGGGCUUAAAGCGCGCGUAGGCGGAAUGGAUAGUGUCUUGUGAAAGUCCUCGGCUUAACCGGGGAAUUGCUUGGCAAACUUCCAUUCUUGAGGCAAGUAGGGGUACAUGGAACUCUUGGUGGAGCGGUGGAAUGCGUAGAUAUCAAGAGGAACGCCAAUGGUGAAGACAGUGUACUGGGCUUGUCCUGACGCUGAGGUGCGAAAGCGUGGGGAGCGAACGGGAUUAGAUACCCCAGUA
This 269-nucleotide ribosomal RNA is filed under the name uncultured prokaryote. RNAcentral's name for it is "partial 16S ribosomal RNA". It matches the Rfam family "Bacterial small subunit ribosomal RNA", at positions 524 to 792 of the family's 1533-position model. The record is from RNAcentral.